CCCAACAAAGUGGCAGCGUUGUCGGAUUUAUUGGGCGUAAGCGAGCGCAGGCGGAUGAUAAGUCUGAUGUGAAGCCCACGGCUCAACCGUGGAACUGCAUCGGAACUGUCAUUCUUGAGUGCAGAAGAGGAGAGUGGAAUUCCAUGUGUAGCGGUGGAAUGCGUAGAUAUAUGGAAGAACACCAGUGGCGAAGGCGGCUCUCUGGUCUGCAACUGACGCUGAGGCUCGAAAGCAUGGGUAGCGAACAGGAUUAGAUACCCUGGUAGUCCAUGCCGUAAACGAUGAGCGCUAGGUGUUGGGGACUUUCCGGUCCUCAGUGCCGCAGCAAACGCAUUAAGCGCUCCGCCUGGGGAGUACGACCGCAAGGUUGAAACUCAAAGGAAUUGACGGGGGCCCGCACAAGCGGUGGAGCAUGUGGUUUAAUUCGAAGCAACGCGAAGAACCUUACCAGGUCUUGACAUCCUGUGCUACACCUAGAGAUAGGUGGUUCCCUUCGGGGACGCAGAGACAGGUGGUGCAUGGCUGUCGUCAGCUCGUGUCGUGAGAUGUUGGGUUAAGUCCCGCAACGAGCGCAACCCUUGUCUUUAGUUGCCAUCAUUAAGUUGGGCACUCUAAAGAGACUGCCGGUGACAAACCGGAGGAAGGUGGGGAUGACGUCAAGUCAUCAUGCCCCUUAUGACCUGGGCUACACACGUGCUACAAUGGGCAGUACAACGAGAAGCGAACCCGCGAGGGUAAGCGGAUCUCUUAAAGCUGUUCUCAGUUCGGACUGCAGGCUGCAACUCGCCUGCACGAAGCUGGAAUCGCUAGUAAUCGCGGAUCAGCACGCCGCGGUGAAUACGUUCCCGGGCCUUGUACACA
Molecule: ribosomal RNA, 861 nt
Filed under: Lactobacillus delbrueckii subsp. bulgaricus
Lineage: Bacteria; Bacillati; Bacillota; Bacilli; Lactobacillales; Lactobacillaceae
Description: bacterial SSU rRNA
Rfam family: Bacterial small subunit ribosomal RNA
Source: RNAcentral